This 220-nucleotide ribosomal RNA is filed under the name Dinophysis acuminata. Its description in RNAcentral is "partial Bacterial large subunit ribosomal RNA". It matches the Rfam family "Bacterial large subunit ribosomal RNA", at positions 195 to 467 of the family's 2925-position model. Lineage: Eukaryota; Dinophyceae; Dinophysales; Dinophysaceae. The record is from RNAcentral.
GAAACAUCUAAGUACCCUUAGGAAGAGAAAUCAAACGAGAUUCCCCUAGUAGCGGCGAGCGAACGGGGAACAGCCGAAUCAGCAUGGCGUAGUGGAAUGAGUUGGGAAGCUCAGCGAUACCGGGUGAUAGCCCCGUACACGAAGCGACAUGUUGGUCAUAUUAAGUAGGUCGGGACACGUGUUAUCCUGAUUGAAGAUGGGGGGACCAUCCUCCAAGGCU